RNAcentral lists this unclassified non-coding RNA (336 nucleotides) under soil metagenome. RNAcentral's name for it is "partial contains 5.8S ribosomal RNA, internal transcribed spacer 2, and large subunit ribosomal RNA". The stretch from base 6 to 121 matches the Rfam family "5.8S ribosomal RNA", at positions 39 to 154 of the family's 154-position model. The record is from RNAcentral.
GAUGAAAGAACGCAGCGAAAUGCGAUACGUAAUGUGAAUUGCAGAAUUCAGUGAAUCAUCGAAUCUUUGAACGCACAUUGCGCCCGCUAGUAUUCUGGCGGGCAUGCCUGUCCGAGCGUCAUUUCAACCCAUCAAGCUUAGCGCUUGUGUUGGAGCCCUGCGGCCGCCGCAGCCUCCUAAAAUCAGUGGCGGGCUCGCUAUCACGCUGAGUGCAGUAGUAUUCUUCUCACUCCUGUGGUGUAGCGGGUAACCAGCCGUAAACCCCCCCAUCUAUAAAGGUUGACCUCGGAUCAGGUAGGAAUACCCGCUGAACUUAAGCAUAUCAAUAAGCGGAGA